Molecule: ribosomal RNA, 460 nt
Filed under: uncultured bacterium
Lineage: Bacteria
Description: partial 16S ribosomal RNA
Rfam family: Bacterial small subunit ribosomal RNA
Source: RNAcentral
CCUACGGGAGGCAGCAGUGAGGAAUAUUGGUCAAUGGACGAGAGUCUGAACCAGCCAAGUAGCGUGAAGGAUGACUGCCCUAUGGGUUGUAAACUUCUUUUAUAUGGGAAUAAAAUGUUCCACGUGUGGGAUUUUGUAUGUACCAUAUGAAUAAGGAUCGGCUAACUCCGUGCCAGCAGCCGCGGUAAUACGGAGGAUCCGAGCGUUAUCCGGAUUUAUUGGGUUUAAAGGGAGCGUAGGUGGAUUGUUAAGCCAGUUGUGAAAGUUUGCGGCUCAACCGUAAAAUUGCAGUUGAAACUGGCAGUCUUGAGUACAGUAGAGGUGGGCGGAAUUCGUGGUGUAGCGGUGAAAUGCUUAGAUAUCACGAAGAACUCCGAUUGCGAAGGCAGUUCACUGGACUGCAACUGACACUGAGGCUCGAAAGUGUGGGUAUCAAACAGGAUUAGAUACCCGUGUAGUC